GCCAGGUGCGGUGGUGUGUGCCUGUAGUCCCAGCUACUCAGGAGACUGAGGCUGGAGGAUCAUUUGAGUCCAGGAGUUCUGGGCUGUAGUGCGCUAUGCCGAUUGGGUGUCCGCACUAAGUUCGGCAUCAAUAUGGUGACCUCCCGGGAGCAGGGGACCACCAGGUUGCCUAAGGAGGGGUGAACCGGCCCAGAAAUGAAGUAGGUCAAAAUUCCUGUGCUGAUCUGUAGUGGGAUCGCGCCUGUGAAUAGCCACUGCAUGCCAGCCUGGGCAACAUAGUGAGACCCCGUCUCU
RNAcentral lists this signal recognition particle RNA (294 nucleotides) under Aotus nancymaae (Ma's night monkey). Its description in RNAcentral is "Metazoan signal recognition particle RNA (ENSANAG00000004184.1)". It matches the Rfam family "Metazoan signal recognition particle RNA". Rfam says of the family: The signal recognition particle (SRP) is a universally conserved ribonucleoprotein. It is involved in the co-translational targeting of proteins to membranes. Lineage: Eukaryota; Metazoa; Chordata; Mammalia; Primates; Aotidae. The record is from RNAcentral.